This is a non-coding RNA of Vicia faba (fava bean), 744 nucleotides long. The record is from the annotation of a GenBank genome assembly. Lineage: Eukaryota; Viridiplantae; Streptophyta; Magnoliopsida; Fabales; Fabaceae.
CUGUUGGAUGAAAUUGAGGAUCGAUACAUAAAAACAAAACCAAAAAAAAAGCCAAUAUCACUAUCCUGCAGAACAUAUACACGUUACUCCACUAAAGCUGCAAAAAAAAAAAGGAAAACCACUUUUUUUUCAAAUCAUGUUUGUAUCAUAAACAACAAGCUUGUAAUAAAAAAACAAAAAAACCCUUCACACUUUUUCUACUACAAAAUUUCUCUUGCAAAUAUAAACCAAACGAAACCUGUCAAUUUUUUCAUUAACCAUUCACAUGAACUUCACUACCAAUCUAAUUACCUUCAAGAUCUCAUAAUACAACCUGCAAAAACCACCCUUCAAUUUCCCACACAACAUAUCAAAUUUUAUUCCAACCACAUUUAUUCACAACUUCAACCAAGAUUGCUUCCUCAUGAACCAAUUCAUAACCGUAUCAUCUUCAAUGUCUUCUCACACAAACCUCGCAACUUCUACUUUCACACAGAUAAAAAACCAAACACUUUAGUUUACAACGCACUCAUCAAAGCCUGCAUUCGUUGCCACUCAUCAAACCAAGCACUACUACAUUACAUAAACAUGCUCCAAAACGGUGUCUUACCAUCAAGCUAUUCAUUCUCCUCUUUGAUUAAGGCCUGCACCUUGUUAACAGAUUCUGUAAACGGUAAAGCACUUCAUGGACACGUGUGGAAAAACGGUUUCCAUUCACACAUGUUUGUUCAAACUACCCUGUUCCGCCAACCACCCUCACCGUAA